Molecule: ribosomal RNA, 439 nt
Filed under: Burkholderiales bacterium
Lineage: Bacteria; Pseudomonadati; Pseudomonadota; Betaproteobacteria; Burkholderiales
Description: bacterial SSU rRNA
Rfam family: Bacterial small subunit ribosomal RNA
Source: RNAcentral
GAACUGAAGAGUUUGAUCCUGGCUCAGAUUGAACGCUGGCGGCAUGCCUUACACAUGCAAGUCGAACGGCAGCGCGGAGAGCUUGCUCUCUGGCGGCGAGUGGCGAACGGGUGAGUAAUACAUCGGAACGUGCCCUGUAGUGGGGGAUAGCUCGGCGAAAGCCGGAUUAAUACCGCAUAAGCUCUACGGAGGAAAGCGGGGGACCGCAAGGCCUCGUGCUAUAGGAGCGGCCGAUGGCAGAUUAGCUAGUUGGUGAGGUAAAGGCUCACCAAGGCGACGAUCUGUAGCUGGUCUGAGAGGACGACCAGCCACACUGGGACUGAGACACGGCCCAGACUCCUACGGGAGGCAGCAGUGGGGAAUUUUGGACAAUGGGCGAAAGCCUGAUCCAGCAAUGCCGCGUGUGUGAAGAAGGCCUUCGGGUUGUAAAGCACUUUUG